Molecule: unclassified non-coding RNA, 467 nt
Filed under: Hevea brasiliensis (rubber tree)
Lineage: Eukaryota; Viridiplantae; Streptophyta; Magnoliopsida; Malpighiales; Euphorbiaceae
Source: RNAcentral
GAAAAUAACAACUGGAUGACGAUCGGAGAGUUUCUAUAUCAGCCUCCAGAGAUUCAUCCUGCAGUUCAUCUCCUCCUCGAAAGCAUAAGCAUCAGGGAAGAAGAACAGGUUUACAAGUUGCCUAUCCCAGAAACCAUGGGGAUAAACAACAAGCUGAGGAAUCAAAAGCUUCAUCUCCUCAGGCGAGUCUUCUGUGACAAACCAGAAAGUCAUCACGUAUGGAGAGAUGACAAAAGGUUCUUAUCACUAGCCUUGAACGAACCAAUCUUCAGAAGCCACCUCGAAAGAGAACUAAAGCAAAAGCUGAAGGAACAGAUGCCCACUAUCAAAAGUGGAAAUCAAUCAUUCUACAGCCAAGCAGAAGACGAAGAUGAUAAUGCUGAGCUAGUGGGACAGCUGUAAAGAAGACAGCUGAAAGAUGCUAAAGCAUCAAACUUUCGGUGGCCUUUGGCACACCAUGUAUUCAG